AAGGAUCGCGCUACCAUGCAAGUCGAGGGGUAACGGGGAGCUUGCUCCGCCGACGACCGGCGCACGGGUGCGCACCGCGUAUGGAACCUGCCCUCUACAGGGGAAUAGCCCAGGGAAACUUGGAUUAAUGCCCCGUGGUACCAUUUAACGGCAUCGUUUGAUGGUUAAAGCCUUCGGGCGGUAGAGGAUGGCCAUGCGUCCCAUUAGUUAGUUGGUAGGGUAACGGCCUACCAAGACCGCGAUGGGUAGGGGCCCUGAGAGGGGGAUCCCCCACACUGGUACUGAGACACGGACCAGACUCCUACGGGAGGCAGCAGUGAGGAAUAUUGGACAAUGGGCGAGGGCCUGAUCCAGCCAUGCCGCGUGCAGGAAGAAUGCCCUAUGGGUAGUAAACUGCUUUUAUACGGGAAGAAAAAGGGGCACGUGUGCCCUGUUGACGGUACCGUAAGAAUAAGGACCGGCUAACUCCGUGCCAGCAGCCGCGGUAAUACGGAGGGUCCGAGCGUUAUCCGGAAUUAUUGGGUUUAAAGGGUCCGUAGGCGGGCCGGUAAGUCAGGGGUGAAAGUCUGUAGCUCAACUAUAGAACUGCCUUUGAUACUGCCGGUCUUGA
Molecule: ribosomal RNA, 610 nt
Filed under: Maribacter sp.
Lineage: Bacteria; Pseudomonadati; Bacteroidota; Flavobacteriia; Flavobacteriales; Flavobacteriaceae
Description: bacterial SSU rRNA
Rfam family: Bacterial small subunit ribosomal RNA
Source: RNAcentral